This 609-nucleotide ribosomal RNA is filed under the name Squalius lepidus (Tigris dace). RNAcentral's name for it is "partial large subunit ribosomal RNA". It matches the Rfam family "Bacterial large subunit ribosomal RNA", at positions 1803 to 2616 of the family's 2925-position model. Lineage: Eukaryota; Metazoa; Chordata; Actinopteri; Cypriniformes; Leuciscidae. The record is from RNAcentral.
UUUAUCAAAAACAUCGCCUCCUGCAACUAUAUUGAGUAUAGGAGGUCCAGCCUGCCCAGUGACUACGGGUUCAACGGCCGCGGUAUUUUGACCGUGCAAAGGUAGCGCAAUCACUUGUCUCUUAAAUAGAGCCUGUAUGAAUGGCUAGACGAGGGCUUAACUGUCUCCCCCUUCCGGUCAGUGAAAUUGAUCUAUCCGUGCAGAAGCGGGUAUAAUUUUACAAGACGAGAAGACCCUUUGGAGCUUAAGGUACAAAAUUCAACCACGUUAAACGACUUCACAGAGAGCAAGAACUUAGUGGCGAGUGAAAUUUUACCUUCGGUUGGGGCGACCACGGAGGAGAAAGAAGCCUCCGAGUGGACUGGGCUAAUCCCCAAAGCCAAGAGAUACAUCUAUAAGCCGCAGAACAUCUGACCAAAAAUGAUCCGGCUGAUAAAGCCGAUCAACGAACCAAGUUACCCUAGGGAUAACAGCGCAAUCCUCUCCCAGAGUCCAUAUCGACGAGGGGGUUUACGACCUCGAUGUUGGAUCAGGACAUCCUAAUGGUGCAGCCGCUAUUAAGGGUUCGUUUGUUCAACGAUUAAAGUCCUACGUGAUCUGAGUUCAGAC